This 465-nucleotide ribosomal RNA is filed under the name Vreelandella stevensii. RNAcentral's name for it is "partial 16S ribosomal RNA". It matches the Rfam family "Bacterial small subunit ribosomal RNA", at positions 338 to 794 of the family's 1533-position model. The record is from RNAcentral. Lineage: Bacteria; Pseudomonadati; Pseudomonadota; Gammaproteobacteria; Oceanospirillales; Halomonadaceae.
CCUACGGGGCGCAGCAGUGGGGAAUAUUGGACAAUGGGCGAAAGCCUGAUCCAGCCAUGCCGCGUGUGUGAAGAAGGCCUUCGGGUUGUAAAGCACUUUCAGUGGGGAAGAAAGCCUUGGGGCUAAUACCCUCGAGGAAGGACAUCACCCACAGAAGAAGCACCGGCUAACUCCGUGCCAGCAGCCGCGGUAAUACGGAGGGUGCGAGCGGUUAAUCGGAAUUACUGGGCGUAAAGCGCGCGUAGGCGGUCUGAUAAGCCGGUUGUGAAAGCCCCGGGCUCAACCUGGGAACGGCAUCCGGAACGGUCAGGCUAGAGUGCAGGAGAGGAGGGUAGAAUUCCCGGUGUAGCGGUGAAAUGCGUAGAGAUCGGGAGGAAUACCAGUGGCGAAGGCGGCCUUCUGGACUGACACUGACGCUGAGGUGCGAAAGCGUGGGUAGCAAACAGGAUUAGAUACCCCAGUAGU